AUGUACCUGAUCAGCCAGAGUACAAUAGAACACCAGCACACCAUGUCGGCUUCACUACUGUGGCUUUAUGGGAAGUCUUUAAAUCAAUUAUUCACUCUCAGUUGUCUGCAUUUUAAAUAUGUUGUUCCAAUGUCAUCUGUUCUUAAUGGUUUCUGAUGUCACAUCCACCAUCAUUUGAAUCAUUGUUCCACCACAGUUCUGUCUCUCUUGCUACCUUGUGAAGAAGAAUUCAACCGCUUCGCCUUCCACCGUGAUUACGUUUCCUGAAGCAUUCCUAGCCACGUGGAACUGUGAGUCAAUUAAAUCCUUUUCCUUUAUAAAUUACCCAAUUUCAAGUAUUUCUUCAUAGAAGCUUGAGAAGGAACUAUUAGCCUGGUGCAAAGGUAAUUGUAGUUUGUGCCAUUGUUUUUAAAGUAAGGGUCAAACCUGCAAUUACUUCCACACCAACCUAAUAAUACAUAUACUAUCCAGACUUCUUGGUUUUCAAAAGUUUCUCUGUUGUAAACACUCCAAUGAUAGUAUAAUCGCAUUGCUAUUUUUCUUUUAGAAGUUUAUUUGCCAAAAUCCAUAACAUAGAAGAAGAUAGAAAUAAUUGGUGCUUAAUUGGUUUACAGUUAUAUCAGAGGCAAUCAUAGUAUGAGUGAAGACCUCAUAAGGAUAGAAUCAUAUCAGUAAUGUUUAUAUCUUCUGUGAAUUAUUAUGAAGCUUUAGUGUCUCUAUUUCUCUACUGAAAUGUAUGUACAGUACCUAGUGUUUCCUCCUAAGUACUUGGGCUUCUCCGACCUGCAGCAUAUAGGCCACAAGCAGCCCAGCGCAGCUUUGAAUGUGGCCCAACACAAAUUUAUAAAUUUUCUUAAAACAUUAUGAGAUUAAAAAAAAAUUUUCUUAGCUCAUCAGCUAUUGUUAGUGUUAGCACAUUUCAUGUGUGGCCAAAGACAAUUCUUCUUCCAGUGUGACCCAGGGAAGCCAAAAGAUUAGAUACUCCAGACUUCAGUGAUUGAAUAUAAAGGACUAUUAAAAAGGUUCUUCAUUUAGCACUCUAGACAGGAGGACAAUUUAUUGCUAAAAUUUUCAGUUUACCGAUUUUAUUUUAUAGCUGCUUUGUCAAAGUUUACAUAUUUUUAAGAUUUUACAAAGCAAUUGUAUGUUAAAUAAAAUUCAGAAAGCAAAUAGAAUAUUAAUAUCUCACAUUAUAUAAUAUAUAAUUUAUACACAGGUAUAUAUACACACAAAAUAUACAUAUAUACAUAUAAAAUAUAUACAUAUAUGUAUACAUUUUUAUAUAUACAUAUGUAUCCAUAUACAAAUAUAUAUACACAAUAAAAUGUACAUAUACA
RNAcentral lists this long non-coding RNA (1337 nucleotides) under Callithrix jacchus (white-tufted-ear marmoset). RNAcentral's name for it is "lncRNA (ENSCJAG00000087082.1)". Lineage: Eukaryota; Metazoa; Chordata; Mammalia; Primates; Cebidae. The record is from RNAcentral.